CAGUGCCUUCACCUCUGUGUAAACCACCAGGUCUUACCAGUGCUGGUUUAAACAUUCAGCACCAAAGCCGGUGGACAGCGGAACAUAUGAGGAAGUUCUGGGGUGAGAUUGAACACUAAGGGCAUUGAGCAGCUGGACACAGAGGGAGCACUAGGGGUAUGGGUUCAGCACUAGGGACAGCAGGCAGCUGGGCACAAAAGGGAGGCACUAAGGUGUGUGUUCAGCACCAAGAACAGCAGGCAGCGGGACACAAAAGGGAAGUGCUAGGGAUGUGGGUUCAGCACCAGGG
This 289-nucleotide long non-coding RNA is filed under the name Homo sapiens (human). RNAcentral describes it as "HSALNT0261433". Lineage: Eukaryota; Metazoa; Chordata; Mammalia; Primates; Hominidae. The record is from RNAcentral.